RNAcentral lists this ribosomal RNA (431 nucleotides) under uncultured bacterium. RNAcentral's name for it is "partial 16S ribosomal RNA". It matches the Rfam family "Bacterial small subunit ribosomal RNA", at positions 29 to 507 of the family's 1533-position model. The record is from RNAcentral.
AGCGAACGCUGGCGGCAGGCUUAACACAUGCAAGUCGAGCGCCCCGCAAGGGGAGCGGCAGACGGGAGAGUAACACGUGGGAACAUACCUUUUGGUUCGGAACAACUGAGGGAAACUUCAGCUAAUACCGGAUAAGCCCUUACGGGGAAAGAUUUAUCGCCGAAAGAUUGGCCCGCGUCUGAUUAGCUAGUUGGUGAGGUAACGGCUCACCAAGGCGACGAUCAGUAGCUGGUCUGAGAGGAUGAUCAGCCUCACUGGGACUGAGACACGGCCCAGACUCCUACGGGAGGCAGCAGUGGGGAAUAUUGGACAAUGGGGGCAACCCUGAUCCAGCCAUGCCGCGUGAGUGAUGUAGGCCUUAGGGUUGUAAAGCUCUUUUGCCCGGGAAGAUAAUGACGGUACCGGGAGAAUAAGCCCCGGCUAACUUCGUG